ACAACAACAAAAAGAGAAUUAGUGAAGGUCUUAUUUUGGUUAAUAGCUUUUAGGUCCCGUGCAAUUUAUCGAAUUUCAGACUGCUUUACGAAUUUUUGGUUAGUAUUAGGCAAAGAAUAUCUAAUAGUAAAUUUUAGGGAAACAAAUGCUGCUGAAUUUUAUGUCACUCUCUUCAAAUAUCCGAUGCACAUCAGGACUUACAUUUCCCAUGCACUUGGUGUAUCAUUAUGCUACCUUCAAACCAAGUGAUAUCCUGCAUCUUAGAGGCAUCAAGAACGCUGCUAUAUUUAUUCCUGUAGAACCAUGCCGGGAUAAGAGUUGCUAAGGUAAAUUUUGAAGCUUAGCAGAAUAAAAAUGGAAAUCUUUGUUUACUUUUUGUGUUUCAAGAAUAAAUACGUACUAUCUCCUCUUACCCUUUAUGUUAUGUUAGGAAAUACUUUAUGAUCCUAAAUGGAUAGCUGCACAUGCUAUUUGUGUUUAACUAUUUUCUUGGUCUAUUUUAACUAUCAAUCUUCAAACAACGCAUAAAGAGAGGUUGUGUAUGCGUAAAAAUACAAGCACUGUGUAAUGUGUUUGUGCAAUAUUAAGAUGCCAACUCGGUAAAAUGAUUUGAUCGUA
This is a long non-coding RNA of Nicotiana tabacum (common tobacco), 618 nucleotides long. RefSeq lists it as uncharacterized. The record is from RefSeq and is a predicted model, not a curated record. NCBI's taxonomy places the organism in Eukaryota, Viridiplantae, Streptophyta, Magnoliopsida, Solanales, Solanaceae.